CAAACGACUCUCGGCAACGGAUAUCUUGGCUCACGCAUCGAUGAAGAACGUAGCAAAAUGCGAUACUUGGUGUGAAUUGCAGAAUCCCGUGAACCAUCGAGUUUUUGAACGCAAGUUGCGCCCAAAGCCUUUCGGCCGAGGGCACGUCUGCCUGGGCGUCACAC
RNAcentral lists this ribosomal RNA (164 nucleotides) under Gynoxys buxifolia. Its description in RNAcentral is "5.8S ribosomal RNA". It matches the Rfam family "5.8S ribosomal RNA". From Rfam's summary of the family: 5.8S ribosomal RNA (5.8S rRNA) is a component of the large subunit of the eukaryotic ribosome. It is transcribed by RNA polymerase I as part of the 45S precursor that also contains 18S and 28S rRNA. Lineage: Eukaryota; Viridiplantae; Streptophyta; Magnoliopsida; Asterales; Asteraceae. The record is from RNAcentral. RNAcentral also lists the same sequence under 35 other names.